UACGUAGGGACCAAGCGUUGUUCGGAUUUACUGGGCGUAAAGGGCGCGUAGGCGGCAAUUCAAGUCAUCUGUGAAAUCUCCGGGCUUAACUCGGAACGGUCAGAUGAUACUGCUUUGCUAGAGUGCGGGAAGGGGCAAUCGGAAUUCUCGGUGUAGCGGUGAAAUGCGUAGAUAUCGAGAGGAACACCAGAGGUGAAGACGGGUUGCUGGGCCGACACUGACGCUGAGGCGCGAAAGCCAGGGGAGCAAACGGG
This 254-nucleotide ribosomal RNA is filed under the name uncultured bacterium. Its description in RNAcentral is "partial 16S ribosomal RNA". It matches the Rfam family "Bacterial small subunit ribosomal RNA", at positions 524 to 776 of the family's 1533-position model. The record is from RNAcentral.